Molecule: long non-coding RNA, 1178 nt
Organism: Schistocerca serialis cubense
Lineage: Eukaryota; Metazoa; Arthropoda; Insecta; Orthoptera; Acrididae
Exons: 8
Source: RefSeq, a predicted model, not a curated record
CGCCCCGAGCAGUCGUACAGAAGCAACUGCCUGUGCAGCCGCUGCACUGCGUUGCUCUUUCCUCUCUGUCUCCGCGAGCGCGACGUUGCGUUUCGUCAACAGUGCUUCACGUCCCCGCCUAAUCGUGAACAGUGCUACCGACUCUUCUCAGUGCAACGGUGCAAAAGAUAGUCGCAGUGUUGGAUUACAGUGCCCCCAGUCGACGCCAAGAAGCUUACCGAGUGCCUGGUAAGGCCGCCGGCUACAUUUUCCGGCGCUGCGCUGGAGGCGUGUUUGGUGUACGAGGGACGACUGCAGAGCUUCGAGUGAUAGUUCGUCGCCGACUGGUACUUGCAGAGGACUGUCACAGGUGGCAGACCGGCGUAGGCGUGGACGGCGCGGCAGGUUGGCAGCGCUAGUGCGCGUGCGCGCAGAGGGGGCGUGUCGCGAGUUGUGCUGUGGCGGCUCGUCUGCCCCGCGGCUUCAGCAGCGGCCGGCGGUCGCCCGCGGCGCUUCUGGACGCUCCACGGAAGGACACCCGCGCUCGCCAAAAAGGUUGGUCUCCUAAUAGCCCCAGCGUAUUUCCAGAGCCGUUGCAGAGGUGGAGCUAUUUCACCGUUCCACAGUACUGUCGCUGCAACACAACAGCGCGAUGCACUUUGGCUGUGGGGAGGCGGCAGCUAGGUGACAGGAGCUGCACUUUCGGUGUAACUGUCGAAGAUGUGACUGCAGAAGUGCGGAGGAUUUUGCUUGUUUACAUAUUUCCGACCACCACAGAGCUUGCAGCAGAGAGACGUUUAGGAAGAUAAAUCGGCCAAGUCCUUUGCAAAUGAUCCAACUGGGUAUUCGCUUGAGCGAUUUUGGGACACCACGGUAAAUCUGCAUCUAGAUGGCUGGACGGGGAUUUUAACUACUGUUCGCCCAAAUAAGAGUCCAGUUUCUUAUCACUGCGCUACCUGAUUCGGUGAUAUCAGCAGAGUAGCUGAGGACAUAGCCGUCCCUCCGCCAAAAUACAUAGCGUGGAGGGAUCUCAUUGGUAAUUGUCAAAGUAGCUGAGACAUGAAUUUCACAUUGCGGGUUCUUCUGGCUACCUGAAUCCCAUCAGGCGCAUGGCAUGAGCGCGGCGCGGUAACCAUGGCGGGCGCAGGACGGCGCCUGAGCGAGAUCGCGCGCUAGCGAUGGAGCUGUUCCGCGGGGCG